AAACNANUCUCGGNAACGGAUAUCUCGGCUCUCGCAUCGAUGAAGAACGUANCGAAAUGCGAUACUUGGUGUGAAUUGCAGAAUCCCGUGAANCAUCGAGUCUUUGAACGCAAGUUGCGCCCGAAGCCAUUAGGCCGAGGGCACGUCUGCC
RNAcentral lists this ribosomal RNA (151 nucleotides) under Erythranthe verbenacea. Its description in RNAcentral is "5.8S ribosomal RNA". It matches the Rfam family "5.8S ribosomal RNA". Rfam says of the family: 5.8S ribosomal RNA (5.8S rRNA) is a component of the large subunit of the eukaryotic ribosome. Lineage: Eukaryota; Viridiplantae; Streptophyta; Magnoliopsida; Lamiales; Phrymaceae. The record is from RNAcentral.